CGAUUCAUAAAAUAACAUCUUUUACAUAUCUAUUUAAAAACAGGUGAUGAACAAUUAUUUGGAAGAAAUAGAUUUGGAAAAUCCGACCACCCACGGCAAAUUCGUGUAGGCGUUGCAUCAGUGCUCGGCCGAGCGCGGAUAAAAUAGUGAGGGAGAACCGGUACUCUUCAAGAGUCGUCAUUCUAUUCGAAACACUUUCUCUGGAUCGUCGAUUGAUCCUGAGGACACGAUUCAAUCCAGUUCAAUGGUUGUGUUCACUGUUUCAUUAUUUUUCAUUUUCUCACCGUAUCAAUAAUAUAUAAUCAUAUAUUCGUUUCAAUUUACGUAUAUUCUUAACAUUGCGAUUUUGACUUUGGAUGAAACGGAAUUACAAAAUGUUUUUGAAAAUUAGAUAAUAUAUACGUGUAUAUAAUUCAAGUGAAAUGUUGAACAUAACCUCAACAGAAAAGGAUUAAUUAAAAUCGAAGACGAAGAAAAGUUCACCCGGUGCACAAGGCUACGAUAUUCCUGUUCCUUUUGUCCGCACGGAUCGCUGCUUCGAGCAGCCGAGCUGAAAGUGCCAACGAUUAAUAACAUGAUACGCACGCAGUGAGGAUCUCUCGUACUCGCCAUUAGUCGUAGCCGCGCUCUUAUCGCGGCACGGUCUCUCCACGGUUACGGUCACGAUUUCGGAGACACUGGUGCGCAACCGACCGUGUAAUUUACUGCGAAUCAGCGUCAAUUUAGCGAUACUCGACUAGAUCAUCGCCAACCUCUUUUAUCUAUUCUGUUCGAGUAGAUAGAGCUCAUUGGAAUUAUGAGAAAAGCGUAUUAUUGGAACGAGUUUUUAAGAGUAUCGGUAAUAUAAUUAGAAAAGAGAGGAAACAGAAAUAAUAUGAAGUCGUUAGUAGCAAGAUACCAAUGGUAGAAAGGAAAAUAUAAGAGACGAGCGUACAUAGGGAUUAAAUCGUGUACGAGGCUCCACCUGUGAACAGCAUUGCAAGUCCAAUCCUACGACUUUUCAUGCAACAUUGUGAAGAACAUACGUAGCGCUUCCGUAAUAUUACCUCAAAGAUUAUACGGAACAGGAUACUUUUAUUAAAAUCCGAGACAGAAAUCUCGUCAGCGGUCAUAAACUUCAAAGUACCGACGAUAAGAACUGUGGGGGACACGAAUCGAUAUCAAGGCGGUGUCCUAUAGGGAAAUUCUCUUUCAUGGAAUGCGGACUCAUUGCCCGGCGUUAUAAAAUUAAGCAUCGCGUUUCAACAUGCAAUCGCGCUGUAUGCUACCAGUUUCUCGUGAUGAUUCGUUCACAGGAGAAUGCAAGCUGAUUGCCUGGAACAUUAUGACUGUGGUAUACAGGAUGAAUAUUUGCUAAUUUUUAAUUUAAUGAUUUUUAUUUAACUUAUCUUUGUUGAUUGGGAAAGUCGAAUUAACUCGUUAUCUAUAUUGUUAAUAUUUUCAAUUUUAUAAUAAUUAUACAUGUAUACAUAUAUAUAUAUACAUAUAUUAUUAAAAUUGAGGUUAAUACAGGCACAACUAUAUUAAUUAUGAUUAUAAGUGAGAAUUAUAUUUUCGAUAUAGUAGAAUCACUGAAUAGAUCACUAUAUUGUGAAUUCAAUCGAAGAUCAGGUUUUAAUACCUCGAACGUGGGAUUAGGACAGUGAAAUGUUGCACGUUAUGGCACUGUCUGGGAAAGGAUCAUUUUCGUUACGUAAUCACAUUGAAUAGGCUAGCUUUUGCACUUCGUCUGCGUCACGGAUAUGUCGGUCCACUGUUGGAUUAUUAACGCCUGUUUUUCCUGACAGUUCUAUAGUAAUUUGUAUAGCCUGAUGUCAUAAUGUGAAACGUUUGGAAUGUUGACAAUGGAAAAUUGCCAACAAGAAUUAUUUUUAGAUGAUGCUUUUGAAUUACAAUUUGAUUUUAUGCUUCGAAACGAAAUAUUUUUUCU
This is a long non-coding RNA of Apis mellifera (honey bee), 1930 nucleotides long. RefSeq lists it as uncharacterized. The record is from RefSeq and is a predicted model, not a curated record. The transcript is spliced from 3 exons. Lineage: Eukaryota; Metazoa; Arthropoda; Insecta; Hymenoptera; Apidae.